CUUCAACGAGCCCAACCACAGCGGCUCAUCGCGGUCCUGGCCGUAGGUGGCCAGCAACGCCUCGGCUUC
Molecule: antisense RNA, 69 nt
Filed under: Saccharothrix australiensis
Lineage: Bacteria; Bacillati; Actinomycetota; Actinomycetes; Pseudonocardiales; Pseudonocardiaceae
Description: ASpks TB sRNA
Rfam family: ASpks TB sRNA
Source: Rfam by way of RNAcentral